UCAUUUUGAAAACAUUGUCCAUUGUGAAGAUAAUCAGAGGGAGAGAGAAAACACAGACCUGUACUCACCGCCCCUUUCCUUUUCGUUCUCUCUCUCUCUCUCACUCUAAGAUUUUAGAUCUGGAUCUGGAUCUAUUCACCGUAAGCUAUUAUUCCCGAGGAUCUGGACACCUUCCCUAAGAUAGUUGAAGAUGGAUCCCUAGCCGUCGCAUUUGGUGAAGACGGUGGUGUUUAUUUUUUUAUUUAUUUUAAAGAUUUGUUGAUUUGUACAGGUUUUCACCACAGAUCUUCUUUGGGUUUUUUGUACAGAUUUUCCCUAAGGUAGUUGAAGAUGGAUUCCCAAGCCCUAACAAUGUCACAAUCGAUUGAUCAUGCCGAUUUGGACUUUUUAUUGGUAUUAAUCUUUAUGGGUAUUCUUUAAGGUGUUUUUGUUUUGAUUUAUUAGGUGAUUUCAACUAUCUGUGAUCUUAUGCUUCAAUUUCUCUGAUGAUUCAAUUUCUAUUUUGUUGGUUUAUCAUUGAUCAUCCCAUUUCUUUCUUCAGAAUACAGAAGAGAGAGAGAGAGAUAGAAAGAGAUAUCUCGAGUUAGAGAGAGAAAAGAGGAGCUACAAGAGGAGAGAGAGAACGGUGAUGCCAGCUGUUAGGGUUCGGGCCGUGAAACCGACUUUUCAUUUUUUCUAGUCUGGUGAAUCAGGAGAGCAAAUUCUUGAAGUUUUUAGGGUAUAUGUGGAACACAUUAUCAUGGGUUAUGGAAACUGCUGCUAUUAUUUCGAUCGCCAUUGCAAAUUGAGGAGGAAAGCCGCCUGACUGGCAGUCUUUUGUGGGUGUUAUCACUUUGCUCAUAAUCAACUCCACAUUUAUUUUCAUUGAAGCAAAGAACGCUGGUAAUGCAGCAGGUCUCAUGGCCAGUCUUGCCCCAGGUUCUUCAUGUACGUGACGUCAAGAAAGGUGAGUGGAUGCCUUUUUGCAGGAAUUAGAUUAUAGGGAAAAGUAACUGGUACAUUACAACCUUUCAAGUAUGAGGGUCGGCUUGAUGAUGGGAGCUUAGUUUCAAAAUUUGAGGAAGUUGAGUUCAUUGUGAAUGAUGAAACGGCAGCAUAACCCAAGAGUUUCGUGCAGAAUUUUGGCAAUUCCAAAAAAUUAUGGUGCAUAUGAGCCUUCUCUUAUGAUGGCAAAUCAAUUCUCCUUGGUGAAUAUGGGGAAAGGAAAGGGCACAAGUCAGUCUUCUUUUCACAUGGGCGAAUUCGAUGGAACGUCACACUUUUCAGGAGCGCCUUUGGAAAAUAACCACAUCCGCUCAACUUUGUAGAAGAGUUUCUUUUGCUUCACGGUUAAGACUCCAACAACAAAGUUUAAUGUAGAAGCAAAAGGAAGUCUCUCAUGAUAUGGCAGAAGCCGUCAUGCAGUUUGGCCACAUGAU
Long non-coding RNA from Helianthus annuus (common sunflower), 1418 nucleotides. RefSeq lists it as uncharacterized. The transcript has 7 exons. Lineage: Eukaryota; Viridiplantae; Streptophyta; Magnoliopsida; Asterales; Asteraceae. The record is from RefSeq and is a predicted model, not a curated record.